GUUACGUUGGCGGUGUGCUUAUGCAUGCAGUCGUACGGGGUACUCUUCGGAUUGUGACCUAGUGGCGAACGGCUGAGUAACGCGUAAGUGAUCUACCUUCAAGUUGGGGAUAACCUGCCGAAAGGCGGCCUAAUACCGAAUGUGGUGGCAAAGCGGAUCUUUGUCAUUAAAGCCGUUAGGCGCUUGGAGAUGAGCUUGCGUCCGAUUAGCUAGUUGGCAGGGUAAUGGCCUACCAAGGCUAUGAUCGGUAGCUGGUCUGAGAGGAUGGUCAGCCAGAUAGGGACUGAGAUACGGCCCUAACUCCUACGGGAGGCAGCAGCAAGGAAUUUUGGGCAAUGAGCGAAAGCUUGACCCAGCAACACCGCGUGAGGGAAGAAGGCUUUCGGGUUGUAAACCUCUUUUCCCGGGGAAGAAUUCUGACGGUACCCGGGGAAUAAGUCUCGGCUAACUACGUGCCAGCAGCCGCGGUAAUACGUAGGAGGCGAACGUUAUCCGGAAUCACUGGGCGUAAAGCGGGAGUAGGCGGCUUUUCAAGUCAGGUGUGAAAUCUUAUGACUUAAUCAGAAGACGGCGCCUGAUACUGGAUGGCUUGAGGGCAGGAGAAGGAAAUGGAAUUCCCGGUGUAGCGGUGAAAUGCGUAGAUAUCGGGAAGAACACCCAGUGGCGAAGGCGAUUUCCUAGUCUGUUUCUGACGCGAGGACCGAAGGCAUGGGGAGUGAAGUGGAGUUAGAUACCCACGUAAUCCAUGCUGUAUAACGGUGGAUACUAGGUAUAGGAGGGAUCGACCCUUUCUGUGCCGAAGCUAACGUUUAAGUUCCCCGCCUGGGGACUACGGCCGCAAGGCUAAAACUCAAGAAAGUUGA
RNAcentral lists this ribosomal RNA (863 nucleotides) under uncultured bacterium. RNAcentral's name for it is "bacterial SSU rRNA". It matches the Rfam family "Bacterial small subunit ribosomal RNA", at positions 30 to 913 of the family's 1533-position model. The record is from RNAcentral.